UACGAAGGGGGCUAGCGUUGCUCGGAAUCACUGGGCGUAAAGGGUGCGUAGGCGGGUCUUUAAGUCAGGGUGAAAUCCUGGAGCUCAACUCCAGAACUGCCUUUGAUACUGAGGAUCUUGAGUUCGGGAGAGGUGAGUGGAACUGCGAGUGUAGAGGUGAAAUUCGUAGAUAUUCGCAAGAACACCAGUGGCGAAGGCGGCUCACUGGCCCGAUACUGACGCUGAGGCACGAAGCGUGGGGAGCAAACAGG
This 251-nucleotide ribosomal RNA is filed under the name uncultured bacterium. Its description in RNAcentral is "partial 16S ribosomal RNA". It matches the Rfam family "Bacterial small subunit ribosomal RNA", at positions 524 to 776 of the family's 1533-position model. The record is from RNAcentral.